RNAcentral lists this long non-coding RNA (665 nucleotides) under Homo sapiens (human). Its description in RNAcentral is "HSALNT0252876". Lineage: Eukaryota; Metazoa; Chordata; Mammalia; Primates; Hominidae. The record is from RNAcentral.
UGUGAUACUGGACCCACCAUACCGGAGAAGCCACAGAUUUGCAUCCUGUGUGAGAGCAUCCUCACACCCCAUCUUUCCAGACAUUUCUGCCAAAGUGUCCAACACAUGAGUGAAGCCAGCGUGGAGCUCCAUACCAGCCCUCCAUCCAGCCCACCGAUUCACCUAAGUUGUUAUUUGGAGUACGUGGGCUGUAUGUUUUCUCUCUAACCUUUCUGUUGUAAAUUUCUCCAAGAAAGGAAACCAAAUAGAAUCUUGGAGAAGAUGUUCCCAGUUGGGAUGUCUUACUAAAGGAAGUUGAUCCAAAAUGCACAGGGGAUGGACUGUGCUGGGUGCUGUGUCUCACCAACCAGAUUUUUACUUCUCUUGGAAAUAUGAGUGUUGAGAAGUCACGUGUGAGCCGUUUUCUGGGAAUUUCCCUGAGAUAAAAAGUACCACCUCCUUCAAGUUUCAGACGCCUGCUCAGUGGUCACAUAUCUAAUGAUGGUGGACGCAGGAGUGUGAAGGUCAGCUCCCAACCAGAAGCCCUCCCAGAUAAUAGCAAGGAAACUCACCAGAUCACUGCCUUUGGACAAUGAGAUGUCAGAACCCUCACCCAUCAUGGCUGCCAAAGUGAUCAUCUGCUUCCUGUUGACCAACUCCUUCUCCUAACCCCUUCCUAAUUUCUG